UACGUAGGGUGCAAGCGUUGUCCGGAAUUAUUGGGCGUAAAGAGCUCGUAGGCGGCCUGUUGCGUCCGCUGUGAAAUCCCGGGGCUCAACCCCGGGCCUGCAGCCGAUACGGGCAAACUAGAAUUCGGUAGGGGAGACUGGAAUUCCUGGUGUAGCGGUGAAAUGCGCAGAUAUCAGGAGGAACACCAGUGGCGAAGGCGGCUCACUGGCCCGAUACUGACGCUGAGGCACGAAAGCGUGGGGAGCAAACAGG
This 253-nucleotide ribosomal RNA is filed under the name uncultured bacterium. RNAcentral describes it as "partial 16S ribosomal RNA". It matches the Rfam family "Bacterial small subunit ribosomal RNA", at positions 524 to 776 of the family's 1533-position model. The record is from RNAcentral.